This 253-nucleotide ribosomal RNA is filed under the name uncultured bacterium. RNAcentral describes it as "partial 16S ribosomal RNA". It matches the Rfam family "Bacterial small subunit ribosomal RNA", at positions 524 to 776 of the family's 1533-position model. The record is from RNAcentral.
GACAGAGGUGCCGAGCGUUAGGCGGGAUCACUGGGCUUAAAGCGUGUGUAGGCGGAUGCCUAAGUACCUUGUGAAAUCCCACGGCUUAACCGUGGAACUGCUUGGUAUACUGGGUGUCUUGAGCCACUUAGGGGCGACCGGAACAAACGGUGGAGCGGUGAAAUGCGUAGAUAUCGUUUGGAACGCCAAUGGUGAAAACAGGUCGCUGGGAGUGUGCUGACGCUGAGACACGAAAGCCAGGGGAGCGAACGGG